GAUGAACGCUGGCGGCGUGCCUAAUACAUGCAAGUCGAGCGAACAGACGAGGAGCUUGCUCCUCUGACGUUAGCGGCGGACGGGUGAGUAACACGUGGAUAACCUACCUAUAAGACUGGGAUAACUUCGGGAAACCGGAGCUAAUACCGGAUAAUAUAUUGAACCGCAUGGUUCAAUAGUGAAAGACGGUUUUGCUGUCACUUAUAGAUGGAUCCGCGCCGCAUUAGCUAGUUGGUAAGGUAACGGCUUACCAAGGCAACGAUGCGUAGCCGACCUGAGAGGGUGAUCGGCCACACUGGAACUGAGAAACGGUCCAGACUCCUAAGGGAGGCAGCCGUAGGGAAUCUUCCGCAAUGGGCGAAAGCUUGACGGAGCAACGCCGCGUGAGUGAUGAAGGUCUUCGGAUCGUAAAACUCUGUUAUUAGGGAAGAACAAAUGUGUAAGUAACUAUGCGCGUCUUGACGGGACCUAAUCAGAAAGCCACGGCUAACUACGUG
RNAcentral lists this ribosomal RNA (497 nucleotides) under uncultured bacterium. RNAcentral's name for it is "partial 16S ribosomal RNA". It matches the Rfam family "Bacterial small subunit ribosomal RNA", at positions 28 to 507 of the family's 1533-position model. The record is from RNAcentral.